This is a non-coding RNA of Syphacia muris, 86 nucleotides long. The record is from Rfam. Lineage: Eukaryota; Metazoa; Nematoda; Chromadorea; Rhabditida; Oxyuridae.
GCCCCGUUGGCGCAGUCGGUUAGCGCGUCGUACUUAUAAGUGAUUAGGACAUGCGAAGGUCAGCAGUUCGAGCCUGCUACGGGGCA